This 843-nucleotide ribosomal RNA is filed under the name Triticum aestivum (bread wheat). Its description in RNAcentral is "partial small subunit ribosomal RNA". Lineage: Eukaryota; Viridiplantae; Streptophyta; Magnoliopsida; Poales; Poaceae. The record is from RNAcentral.
AUGGCUCAGGAUGCUGUCGCUCUUAAUGGACUGAAUUACGAGAGUCAUAUGCAGUUUAGGAUGUCCGUCGUACCGAUUCUUAUAUAUCGUCGUCAACAGAAAGAGGAACAGGAACAUGAAGGGGAAGAGGAACAGGAACAUGAAGGGGAAGAGGAACAGGAACAGGAACAUGAAGGAGAAGAGGAACAGGAACAGGAACCAGAGCCGGAACCGGAACCGGAACAGGCAAAUCCAAAUGACCCAAUUUCUGUUGUUCCGGGCAUAGUCACUGUCGCUGGUGAGACAUUUUGCCACAUCAUAGCAAAUAAGAGAUUGCUUUUUACCCGUCGUCGAGGCAGGUAUAGAUUUGAAAUUGCUUUCCCCAACAUGAACUUAGACCUUGACAACCUCAAUGUGGAAAGACAUGGCUUGUUGGCUGCUUUCUACUGCCCUGUUCCUGCUGGAACUGUAGAUGCCGUGCAUUUCAGCAAUCAAACUGCACAGAACCAAAAGCUCAAGAUGUAUGGAUACCAGAUUAGUGCAUCAGGACAAGUACAAAGGGAUCUAACUAAUGGCUAUCUGACUCACAUAGGGAACCGUGUGGGGCAAGAAUACAUCGGACAUGAUUGUACUCCUUCAAAGUUAUCGCUAAGUGGGUCACCCAUUUUUAAUGAGGAAAGACAGCUCGUUGGUAUAUCAUACGCGGAUUUUGGUAUAACCAAGGCCUUGAAUGUGGAGAAUAUAGCUUCCAUGCUUUCAGAGUUUUAUGAUGGAAUGGAGAACAGGCCUAUGUCAGAUAUCUUACAACGUAUCAGAGAUGUUGGUGAACAUCAAUUUGUUCAGCCUGCGGAUCAUAUGACUUGA